Molecule: ribosomal RNA, 465 nt
Filed under: Vreelandella stevensii
Lineage: Bacteria; Pseudomonadati; Pseudomonadota; Gammaproteobacteria; Oceanospirillales; Halomonadaceae
Description: partial 16S ribosomal RNA
Rfam family: Bacterial small subunit ribosomal RNA
Source: RNAcentral
CCUACGGGGGGCUGCAGUGGGGAAUAUUGGACAAUGGGGGGAACCCUGAUCCAGCCAUGCCGCGUGUGUGAAGAAGGCCCUCGGGUUGUAAAGCACUUUCAGUGAGGAAGAACGCCUGGUGGUUAAUACCCAUCAGGAAAGACAUCACUCACAGAAGAAGCACCGGCUAACUCCGUGCCAGCAGCCGCGGUAAUACGGAGGGUGCGAGCGUUAAUCGGAAUUACUGGGCGUAAAGCGCGCGUAGGUGGCUCGAUAAGCCGGUUGUGAAAGCCCCGGGCUCAACCUGGGAACGGCAUCCGGAACUGUCAAGCUAGAGUGCAGGAGAGGAAGGUAGAAUUCCCGGUGUAGCGGUGAAAUGCGUAGAGAUCGGGAGGAAUACCAGUGGCGAAGGCGGCCUUCUGGACUGACACUGACACUGAGGUGCGAAAGCGUGGGUAGCAAACAGGAUUAGAUACCCCUGUAGUC